UUUUAGAAUUUAAUUUAAAGUCUAACCUGCCCACUGAAAAAAUUUAAAUGGCCGCAGUAUUUUAACUGUGCAAAGGUAGCAUAAUCAUUAGUCUUUUAAUUAGAGGCUGGAAUGAAUGGUUGAAUGAAAUAUUAACUGUUUCAUAAAAAUUUUUAAUAAAACUUUAUUUUUUAGUUAAAAAGCUAAAAUAUAAUUAAAAGACGAGAAGACCCUAUAAAUCUUUAUAUUUAUAUAAUUUUAAUUAUUUAGAUUAUUCUAAUUAAAUUUAUUAAAAAUAUUUUAUUGGGGUGAUAUUAAAAUUUAAUAAACUUUUAAUAAAAAUUAAACAAAAAUUAAUGAAUUAUUGAUCCAUAAAUUAUGAUUAAAAAAUUAAGUUACUUUAGGGAUAACAGCGUAAUUUUUUUAGAGAGUUCAUAUUGAUAAAAA
Molecule: ribosomal RNA, 426 nt
Filed under: Megaselia conformis
Lineage: Eukaryota; Metazoa; Arthropoda; Insecta; Diptera; Phoridae
Description: partial 16S ribosomal RNA
Source: RNAcentral